GUCGGAACGGAGCUAAUACCGGAUAAUAUAUUGAACCGCAUGGUUCAAUAGUGAAAGACGGUUUUGCUGUCACUUAUAGAUGGAUCCGCGCCGCAUUAGCUAGUUGGUAAGGUAACGGCUUACCAAGGCAACGAUGCGUAGCCGACCUGAGAGGGUGAUCGGCCACACUGGAACUGAGACACGGUCCAG
RNAcentral lists this ribosomal RNA (189 nucleotides) under uncultured Staphylococcus sp. Its description in RNAcentral is "partial 16S ribosomal RNA". It matches the Rfam family "Bacterial small subunit ribosomal RNA", at positions 151 to 334 of the family's 1533-position model. The record is from RNAcentral. Lineage: Bacteria; Bacillati; Bacillota; Bacilli; Caryophanales; Staphylococcaceae.